AACGCACCUUGCGCCCCUUGGUAUUCCGAGGAGCAUGCCUGUUUGAGUGUCAUGAAAUUAUCAACUGUUCUGAGUGUUAAUUGGAAUGAAGUUGGAUUUAUGGAGGAUUUUAUUGCUGGUGCCAUUUAUAUUGCUUGUCAGCUCCUCUUAAAUAUAUAUAUAUAUAUAUGUAUAGAUAUAUACUGGUUGACUUCUAUUCAGCAUGAUAAAGACUUUAUAUCUAUGUUGACUAGAGUCUACUUUUAUAUCAUCACAAUUUGACCUCAAAUCAGGUAGGAUUACCUGCUGAACUUAA
RNAcentral lists this unclassified non-coding RNA (295 nucleotides) under uncultured fungus. RNAcentral describes it as "sequence contains ITS2". The record is from RNAcentral. Lineage: Eukaryota; Fungi.